CUGGGCGGACUGGGCGCUGCGAGACAGACUGGGCGGACUGGACGCUGCGAGACAGACUGGGCGCUGCGAGACAGACUGGGCGGACUGGACGCUGCGAGACAGACUGGGCGGACUGGGCGCUGCGAGACAGACUGGGCGGACUGGACGCUGCGAGACAGACUGGGCGCUGCGAGACAGACUGGGCGGACUGGACGCUGCGAGACAGACUGGGCGGACUGGACGCUGCGAGACAGACUGGGCGGACUGGACGCUGCGAGACAGACUGGGCGGACUGGGCGCUGCGAGACUGACUGGGCGGACUGGGCGCUGCGAGACAGACUGGGCGGACUGGACGCUGCGAGACAGACUGGGCGCUGCGAGACAGACUGGGCGGACUGGACGCUGCGAGACAGACUGGGCGGACUGGACGCUGCGAGACAGACUGGGCGGACUGGACGCUGCGAGACAGACUGGGCGGACUGGACGCUGCGAGACAGACUGGGCGGACUGGGCGCUGUGAGACAGACUGGGCGGACUGGGCGCUGCGAGACAGACUGGGCGGACUGGACGCUGCGAGACAGACUGGGCGGACUGGACGCUGCGAGACAGACUGGGCGGACUGGACGCUGCGAGACAGACUGGGCGGACUGGACGCUGCGAGACUGGACGCUGCGAGACAGACUGGGCGGACUGGACGCUGCGAGACUGGACGCUGCGAGACAGACUGGGCGGACUGGACGCUGCGAGACUGGACGCUGCGAGACAGACUGGGCGGACUGGACGCUGCGAGACUGGACGCUGCGAGAGGACCCGCAUCACAAAGCCCUGGUUCAGACCUCGGAUAAAAUGCACAAAACCCUACGAGGUUACAGCAACCAGCCUCGGUUCUCUAAAAACAUUGUCCUUGUCAGCCACUUACUUAGUAUUAGUGGGAAUCUAUUUACGCUGAGAGAAUUUAUGGAAAGAUACAACUUUGAGGUUUCAAGCAAGGAAUAUGACACUGUUAUAAAAUCUAUACCUUGUGGGGUAAAAUAUUUACUUCAGAAUAAUGCAUAUUUUGGAACAUAUAUUGUAAGCGAUAUCCAGAGGAAUGGCGUAGGUUUACUAGAUAAGAAAUUCAACAAUCUUAUAUUAAAGGAUAUUUUCUACAGGAAGUCUAUUCCCUCUGCUAUAUUUUGUUGA
Molecule: long non-coding RNA, 1161 nt
Filed under: Salmo trutta (river trout)
Lineage: Eukaryota; Metazoa; Chordata; Actinopteri; Salmoniformes; Salmonidae
Description: lncRNA (ENSSTUG00000023546.1)
Source: RNAcentral